Molecule: ribosomal RNA, 497 nt
Filed under: uncultured bacterium
Lineage: Bacteria
Description: partial 16S ribosomal RNA
Rfam family: Bacterial small subunit ribosomal RNA
Source: RNAcentral
GAUGAACGCUGGCGGCGUGCCUAAUACAUGCAAGUCGAGCGAACGGACGAGAAGCUUGCUUCUCUGAUGUUAGCGGCGGACGGGUGAGUAACACGUGGAUAACCUACCUAUAAGACUGGGAUGACUUCGGGAAACCGGAGCUAAUACCGGAUAAUAUUUUGAACCGCAUGGUUCAAAAGUGAAAGACGGCCUUGCUGUCACUUAUAGAUGGAUCCGCGCUGCAUUAGCUAGUUGGUAAGGUAACGGCUUACCAAGGCAACGAUGCAUAGCCGACCUGAGAGGGUGAUCGGCCACACUGGAACUGAGACACGGUCCAGACUCCUACGGGAGGCAGCAGUAGGGAAUCUUCCGCAAUGGGCGAAAGCCUGACGGAGCAACGCCGCGUGAGUGAUGAAGGUCUUCGGAUCGUAAAACUCUGUUAUUAGGGAAGAACAUAUGUGUAAGUAACUGUGCACAUCUUGACGGUACCUAAUCAGAAAGCCACGGCUAACUACGUG